UUGCUUCUUUUGGAAUCGAGUGGCAAACGGGUGAGUAACACGUAAACAACCUGCCUUCAGGAUGGGGACAACAGACGGAAACGACUGCUAAUACCGAAUACGCUUGGGAGACCGCAUGAUCUUCCAAGGAAAGGGUGGCCUCUACCUGUAAGCUAUCGCCUGAAGAGGGGUUUGCGUCUGAUUAGAUAGUUGGUGGGGUAACGGCCUACCAAGUCUACGAUCAGUAGCCGGACUGAGAGGCUGAACGGCCACAUUGGGACUGAGAUACGGCCCAGACUCC
This 280-nucleotide ribosomal RNA is filed under the name uncultured Dialister sp. RNAcentral's name for it is "partial 16S ribosomal RNA". It matches the Rfam family "Bacterial small subunit ribosomal RNA", at positions 71 to 339 of the family's 1533-position model. Lineage: Bacteria; Bacillati; Bacillota; Negativicutes; Veillonellales; Veillonellaceae. The record is from RNAcentral.